Molecule: ribosomal RNA, 152 nt
Filed under: Vaejovis franckei
Lineage: Eukaryota; Metazoa; Arthropoda; Arachnida; Scorpiones; Vaejovidae
Description: partial 28S ribosomal RNA
Source: RNAcentral
AAGGGUUGCCUCGCCGGUCGACCGGAGAGAGACGUCCGUCCAGGUGCGACGCCGAGAGAGCGCCGCGGACGUCCCCGGCGACAGCUGGAAGACUGGGCUCCCUUCUGCAAAUAUUGUGUCGACCUCAGAUCAGACGAGAAUACCCGCUGAAU